UCUAAUAUGGCAGAAUAGUGCAAUGAAUUUAAGCUUCAUAUAUAAAGAUUAUAACUUUUUUUAGAA
Molecule: transfer RNA, 66 nt
Filed under: Nebrioporus ceresyi
Lineage: Eukaryota; Metazoa; Arthropoda; Insecta; Coleoptera; Dytiscidae
Description: tRNA-Leu
Rfam family: tRNA
About the family: Transfer RNA (tRNA) molecules are approximately 80 nucleotides in length. Their secondary structure includes four short double-helical elements and three loops (D, anti-codon, and T loops).
Source: RNAcentral